Molecule: ribosomal RNA, 433 nt
Filed under: uncultured bacterium
Lineage: Bacteria
Description: partial 16S ribosomal RNA
Rfam family: Bacterial small subunit ribosomal RNA
Source: RNAcentral
AGCGAGCGCUGGCGGCAGGCCUAACACAUGCAAGUCGAACGAACUCUUCGGAGUUAGUGGCGGACGGGUGAGUAACACGUGGGAACGUGCCUUUUGGUUCGGAAUAACUCAGGGAAACUUGUGCUAAUACCGAAUGUGCCCUUCGGGGGAAAGAUUUAUCGCCAUUAGAGCGGCCCGCGUCUGAUUAGCUAGUUGGUGAGGUAACGGCUCACCAAGGCGACGAUCAGUAGCUGGUCUGAGAGGAUGACCAGCCACACUGGGACUGAGACACGGCCCAGACUCCUACGGGAGGCAGCAGUGGGGAAUCUUGCGCAAUGGGCGAAAGCCUGACGCAGCCAUGCCGCGUGAAUGAUGAAGGUCUUAGGAUUGUAAAAUUCUCUCACCGGGGACGAUAAUGACGGUACCCGGAGAAGAAGCCCCGGCUAACUUCGUG